UUUUACAGUUAAUGGAGGUUGGUCACUUUGGAACUCUUGGGAAACUUGUACAGUUACGUGUGGAACUGGUUUACAAAGAAGGCAACGCUUUUGUAAUAACCCUGUACGACAACAUAAUGGUGCUGAUUGUGGAGGAAACGAUUAUGAUGAAAAGUUGUGUUCGUUAUCAUUUUGUCCAGGUAAUAAAUAUUGGUAUUAGUUUAAUCUAUGUUAAGGAUUAAACAAAUGUGCUUUAUUUACAUCAAAUAUGCUGAUGCAAAGAUUAAGCAAAUUAUUUAAAGUGAAACCACCUUCCCUUUUUUCCAUUAUCUUUGGAUAUAACACGUAUAUUAUUUAUUGCAGAUUGAUUUGAAUUGCAUAAUAUUGUGGGUUUUCAGUAUUUGUUGCUUCGACUAUUAAAAAUAUACAAUGUCAUCUGUUGGAAAAUUAUGCUGUCAGCCAAUCAUGAUGCCAUCAUCAUAACUAUAGGAAACGAAAACUCCGAAAUAUCGUUUCAAUUCAAAGAUAUAUUCUCUUUUUAUAGAUGUUGCUGCAAUUUUCCUCUUACACAUAAAUAGAACUUCACAAUGGAAAAAUCGAUAUCAUCUGUGUUGUCGUAUGCUGUAGAAUCUUCCUAUGUCGUUCUUUUAAUAUGUGACUGUGAGGUGUUCGGUCAUAUUUUUUUUUAAAUAACAAAGUAUGCCUUGCAAAGGUGGGGGUUAUGAAAAGAGUCAUUAUUUAUCUGAUACUUUACAAAGCCUUUCAAAAAAAACAAGUUUUUACAUUUUUGUUACGCAAAAUAUCUUGUGUGUAAAACUCUUGAUCAUAUCUCAAUAUUAAUGAGAGGCCUGAUGGGGGGAUCUCAUCACGAUUCACAAGUUGAUUUUUUUUGUCAAUCACGAUUCACAGAAAAUAAAUUUCCAUGAUCACAGAUCACGAAAAUAUAAAAGAAAAAACAAUCUGUAGAAAAACGGAUCACGAUAGCGAAAAUGCGCCGAUCACGAAGAACGAAAAUAACCCAUCAGGCCCCUCAUUAAUGAUAGUAUCUUCAAAUGAGAAAUCUUAUCGGAUUGUGAUGUCUUGCACUUAAUAUAAGAUGUAUUAAGCCCUCAUGCCAAUAUUGAAACAAAGUUACCAAAUUCUGAUAUGGGCAAUUUUUGUUUUAAUUUGUGUGAAUUUUGUCAUCAUCUUUUUCUUGUGGUUUUAUUUGUAAUUUGUAUUUAAACUUUCAGCUCUUAGAUGCUGUAUAUAUGGUGCUGAAGGGUUUACAUAACUUUUGUCAAGUCCAUUUGUUAAAGCAGGUGAUGGAAUGUUUGUCCCAACAUUUAAUACAGUGAUAGUCUUUAGUUUUUCAAUUGGAAUUUUUACCUACCCUUUCUGUGGAUACUAAAUAUUAACUUUUUGACUAAGAGAAAAAGCUUUAUUUGCCUAUCUUUAAUUUAAAAAUAUUAUGAAGGUCAAACAAAAAUUACAGUUGAAAAUCAAUCCAUUCUUGAUGAUUUACUAUUUUCUUAUAUUUCAAAGCAUCUAAGCAUUGCCUAUCAUUCAAAUUACAUCUUGUCUAAAACCGUUGUUCAGAGAUAAAGAUUUAAAGGAGUAUUUUCCUCAACCAAAUUGUUUGUAUGUUCAUGAUGUAAAAAAUUGUAACAAAAAUACCGAACCACAAUGUAAAUAUAAAAAGAAGGAUAUACUAAUUAUACACGUAUUUAAAACAAAUCUUUGAACAUAAAUUCUGAAAUUAUAUUCUUACUUAACGAGAUUUUUCACUCUCUUCUAAAGAGGCUCACAUGCCUUGUUUAUACCGAUCUUUAAGCUUAUCUUAAUAACAUUUGUUGAUACAAUAAUAUAUAUAUAUAUAUCUGCCAGUCGAUUCCAUACAUAAUUGUUUAAAAUAUAACCAAAAUAUACAGUGAAACAAUUCUGUCAUUUUUGUAAAGAGAAAGAAAUGUGGUAUAGAUAGUUAUCAAAAGUACCAGGAUUAUAAUUAAGUACGCCAGACGCGCGUUUCGUCUACAUAAGACUCAUCAAUGACGCUCAAAUCAAAAUAUCUAUAAAGCCAAACAAGUACAAAGUUGAAGAGCAUUGAAGAUCUAAAAUUCCAAAAAGUUGUGCCAAAUACGACUAAGGUUAUCUAUGCCUAGGAUAAGAAAAUCCUUAGUUAUUCGAAAAAUUCAAAGUUUUGUAAACAGGAAUAUAAAUUGGUAUGUUUGCUAAUUAGAAAUAUAUCAUCAACAUAUCAAAAUUGAGUGGAUAGGAGCAGCAGUUAUAGGCCACCAUACAUACCAAUCUUCAUGUAACAAUUUAUAAACUUCAUAUACAAUUAAUGUGUUGGUUUUUGAAAUAUUAAACCAGUAGUGAUGCAUUAUGAAUUUUCGUAUAACGUAACAUAUACAAAGUAAAAUAACUCGAUUGAUUCUCUUUAAAAAGGGCGAAUUAGACACAGUUUUGUAUCGUCAAAAACAGUAAAGAACUAUCAAAACUUCUGUAGCUCGAAUAAAACCGUUUAUUUCCGAAACAUAAUUAUGAACAGAUGCCAUUAUAAUGUCAAAUAGUUUAAAUUGUUUUGCCUUCGACAACUCAUUAAGUGAGUUUAGCAAUGCCGAUAUGGCAUAUGACCCUUUCAACACACAGUUUGUUGGGUCAUUGGAAACUUACCAUUCAGAUAAUCCACAUAUCUGAUUAUAAUUGGGAUUAGAAUACUGGUGGCUUUUAACUGCCGUAUAGAAUAAAAUAAAUUAUAAUAUUCCUUUUGUCUAGUUGAUGGAGAUUGGUCAUCAUGGGAUCCAUGGGACACUUGUACAGUAACAUGUGGGAAUGGUGAACAAAGAAGAACACGGUUUUGUAACAACCCUGCACCACAAAACGGUGGCUCUAAUUGUACAGGGGAAAUAUAUGAGGAUCAAUCUUGUGCUGUAUCUGAAUGUGAAGGUAAGUAACUUCUACCGGAACAUGUUUUUUAUAUAAAAGAAUCGUUAACUCUGUUUUUCAAACUUCAUUUCAUAAGUAUACAAUUCUAUGGCAGCAGAGAUGAUAGGAUCCAUCAUCUCAUAUUUCAUAUCUUUUAUAAUUCUUUCUAAAAUACUUGUACAUUGUAUAGGUACAAAUAUAUUCGUGUUUGUGUGUUUUGAUAAGAGUGCAAAGAGAUUAAUAACUAUGCUGUAUUACACAAGAGGAAAAGGUUUCAUGGAGAAUGUCUUUAGAUCUUUGACUUCAAAAUAUGUGGAUUUCACUAUUUCAAAACUACUUUAAAAUAAUCAGAAUAUUUCAUAAUAAAAAAAUAUCAUUUAUAAGAUACGUUUAUUGUCGUUCCCAAUUAUGUAUUGUUAAGAAUUCAAUAUUUUCAUCAACUGUUAUAUUUAUCGAGAAUGGAUCAUUCAACGAUCAUAUACUGUUAACUGCUUGUAACUGUACCUGGCUGCAUAAAGAAGCAAUGUAUAACAGAACCUCUUUUUAAUUCUAAUCAGGGGACAUAAAGAUAAUAGAGUAAAUAUUUAUCGAAGGUACAAGGCUUAUAAUUUGCUACGUCAGACGUGCGUUUCGUUAUCACUGACGCUCAUAUCAAAAAUGUAAAAAGGCCAAUCAAGAACAAAUUUGAAGAGCAUAUAGGACCCAACAUUCCAAACAGUUGGGCCAAAUUACUAGGCACUCAACGUGUGGGGACUUGGAGGUAUAUUGGUUGAAUGUAAUAGAUGCGAUUCGCAAAUACAAUGUAUGAGUAAGACGACAAUAUUUCUUUUAUCUAACCUAAUAACGUUUUUCUCAUGUAAAUGGGUUUUUUUUCCUGAAUUAUAAACAUGUGAUUCUAAGAUUAUAUCAUUCAAAAUUUUCUUUAUUCAAUUUCUUCUUUGAAAAACAUGUACAAACGUUUAGCAAAAAACGUUAAUUGUAGAAGCCAAUGCAGCAGGAUCAGUAGCUCCCAUAGCCGGAGGCGUUGGAGGAGGUAUUGUUGUGAUAGUUUGCAUUGUCCUGAUCAUAGUUGUGUAUAUAAUGAAGAGGUAAUUUAAAAAAAAACAUGGUUAAUUGACGUUUUUGUACCCCUUUUACAUUUAACUCUUUUUUAUUUGUCUUUAGUUUUUAAUAAUCUAGAGAAUAUGUAUGUUUGUAGCAAUAUUUGAAUGUACAUCUAUCUUGUUUUUAGCAACGUUUGCUAAGAUCGUUAGUAAAAUGCGGACAAGGACGUUUUAAAUUAAAAUGUUAUUAUAGAGUAGAAUAGAAAAGAAGGAUAUGGCUAUCCAUUCAUGACACACAAUAAGUACAUACACAAAAACAACCACACAACAAGCGCUUUCAGUGUUGUUCCUCUUAUUAAAGUCACAAUGAAGCCUCAACAGAGGGGAAAAAAGCUCUCAACUCACUGCAAGUUUAAGACGCCCGGCACCUAAGACUGGCGUGAAAAGAAUUAUUUGCAAAAUGUAUUUGGAUAGACGAAGUAGUAUGCUACAAAACCAAAUCGGGCACGGUCAAAAUUUGUUAUUUCUUAUUCUUCGAUUUAUUUUAAAAAAUAGAUAAAACAGUCCAAGGCAAACGUACGUUUUGUCGUAGUAAUUUUCAACCUUAAUUUUACAAAUUAAACAAUGAGGUGAACGUUAUCAAAGGGACAUUAAAAUCAUAUGUAGAAGAAUAACUGACAACGCCAAGACCAAAAAUGAGUAACGAGGAAAAAACGAACAAAUCCUCAAAACACUACUUUAAUACCUAAAUGUUGAACUACAUAAAUCUCACUUAAACGGGGAUUGAACUAAUGUACCUAUAGGACGGGUUAGCACCUUCAAGUGUGUAAAUAGUACAUAAUAAAUAUACACAUCCUUUGUUAACUCAAUAGGUUGUAUUCAUAUUUAAACAUUCUAGUGAAAGUAUUUAUCUUAUUUUCUUAUAAUCUUGUUUCAAAUAAGAAAAAGACGUAAACCUGUGGAUGAUAGAGUAUCUGAAGAAAAUCAAGGACUUCAGUUUGCAGAUACCCUGGUUUCAUUACGACAAGGU
RNAcentral lists this long non-coding RNA (4959 nucleotides) under Mytilus galloprovincialis (Mediterranean mussel). Lineage: Eukaryota; Metazoa; Mollusca; Bivalvia; Mytilida; Mytilidae. The record is from RNAcentral.